This 253-nucleotide ribosomal RNA is filed under the name uncultured bacterium. RNAcentral's name for it is "partial 16S ribosomal RNA". It matches the Rfam family "Bacterial small subunit ribosomal RNA", at positions 524 to 776 of the family's 1533-position model. The record is from RNAcentral.
UACGGAGGGUGCGAGCGUUGUCCGGAAUCACUGGGCGUAAAGCGCGCGCAGGCGGUCUUCCAAGUCAGUGGUGAAAGCCCGGAGCUCAACUCCGGAAUUGCCAUUGAAACUGUUAGACUUGAGGAUGAGAGAGGUGAGUGGAAUUCCCAGUGUAGAGGUGAAAUUCGUAGAUAUUGGGAAGAACACCGGUGGCGAAGGCGGCUCACUGGCUCAUUACUGACGCUCAGGCGCGAUAGCGUGGGGAUCAAACAGG